Molecule: long non-coding RNA, 813 nt
Filed under: Zostera marina
Lineage: Eukaryota; Viridiplantae; Streptophyta; Magnoliopsida; Alismatales; Zosteraceae
Description: long non-coding RNA (ZMAR_LNC001112)
Source: RNAcentral
ACUUUUCUAUAGAACGUGGAGCUGAACAUGUACACGUGGGUAAUAUCGGAUUCCUUGAAACCUUAUCUCCUUUAGUCAGUCAAUUAGUCCUUUAUUAACUAUUAUUAAUUUAUUAUGAUCUUUUUUUUAAUUGAAUAAUUUUAGGAUUUAGCAUUAAUUAAAACAAAUUGUCUUAUAAUAAUUCAGUAAUAAAAUAAAAUAAAAAAGCAGUGUGGAAGAUAGUUGCUGGAGAUGACCACCGGAGAGGGGGGAAUUGGAACGAGGGACUACGAACUGACAAGAACAACUGGAACUGGGUUAUCGAAAGAACUGGAAGGAUAUGGGUUGAUGAUAAUGUCUGGUCAGCAUGGAUGAACAAGCAUUAUGUCCAUGAUCGGAGCCUACAAUCGAUUGGGAAGCGUUAUGAUGUGGAAAACGAUUCUGCAAAACAGGGAAUCGAUUGCCCAAUGUAUGGAGUGUCAGGGCCGGCGCACCUACAACUGGAAGGGGAGCGGCAAUUCACGCACAAUUGCAAGCAUCAUAGAAACCAUCAGACCGCAGAGGCUAGCCGACCCAUUCGCACCGGGAAUCUGGGAAAUUCCAUCAACUUCUUUAGCGCCUCAGAUGGAAGUGUUUGGCAAUGAACGACAGGGACGAUGCAAAUCACGGACAGAUGCUCACUGUGCAUCACGGGAGAGGAAUCAAGUGAUCAAAUAUCAUCCAAUAAGAUAAGAAUAAUACACCUUGAGAUUUUAAUCAAAAUAUUGUAUACAUUUAUUGUGCUCACCAUUAGAUUAAUACUGAAAGGCAUAUAACACGGUUCCCUUAUAACAU